RNAcentral lists this ribosomal RNA (430 nucleotides) under uncultured bacterium. RNAcentral describes it as "partial 16S ribosomal RNA". It matches the Rfam family "Bacterial small subunit ribosomal RNA", at positions 29 to 506 of the family's 1533-position model. The record is from RNAcentral.
AACGAACGCUGGCGGCAGGCUUAACACAUGCAAGUCGAGCGCCCCGCAAGGGGCGCGGCCGACGGGUGAGUAACGCGUGGGAACGUACCUUUUGGUUCGGAACAACUCCGGGAAACUGGAGCUAAUACCGGAUAAGCCCUAACGGGGAAAGAUUUAUCGCCGAAAGAUCGGCCCGCGUCUGAUUAGCUAGUUGGUGAGGUAACGGCUCACCAAGGCGACGAUCAGUAGCUGGUCUGAGAGGAUGAUCAGCCACACUGGGACUGAGACACGGCCCAGACUCCUACGGGAGGCAGCAGUGGGGAAUAUUGGACAAUGGGCGCAAGCCUGAUCCAGCCAUGCCGCGUGAGUGAUGAAGGCCUUAGGGUUGUAAAGCUCUUUUGUCCGGGAAGAUAAUGACUGUACCGGAAGAAUAAGCCCCGGCUAACUUCGU